RNAcentral lists this long non-coding RNA (2121 nucleotides) under Cyanistes caeruleus (blue tit). Its description in RNAcentral is "lncRNA (ENSCCEG00000021807.1)". Lineage: Eukaryota; Metazoa; Chordata; Aves; Passeriformes; Paridae. The record is from RNAcentral.
AUGCAAACUUGGAUCUGCAGCCCCAGCUGUAAAAAUCUUACAGCUCUGAAAGUCUCUCCAGAGGUCUGAAGUAAAGGUGAAAUUACCUUUAAAUUGCUCCAUCUUGGACCUUUUGGCAUUUUCCUUUCAGAAGCACAGGCAGCUUCAUCCUGCCUCCCCCAACAGACUGCAACCUCUACAGCAGGGAGAGAAAUUCCAAAUCACAAAAGAUGGCAUGGAGCACCAAAGAGAUCCAAAUCAGUUAUACAGCAGCCAGUGCAGAUGCCCAUACCAAAGCAAUUACUGCAUGGGAGAUGCCGACUGGCUGGAAGAACCUGUUCAUUCUGGGCCUGGAAUGGAGUCUGUGAGGAGCUCAGCUUCCUGGGGUGGAAGGAGGCGUCGCGCGGAGCCCACGUACAGCGCAGAGGAGCUGUGACACGAACUUUGGGGCUUUACAGGCCAAAGAGCUCUUGCACAAACUGGGAAGCUGGAGGCCCAGGCUUGGAUGUGUGUGCGCUUAAGAAAUCGAUUCAAAGCACAACCUGGAACAAAAAUUCCGCCUGAGUGUUGCGUUAAAAACCCACCCGAGGUGCCUGGAGGGGUUCCUGGCCCGUCACUUUUGAUUAUUGGGUCACUGUGGGUUUGGGGAAGCAAAGUCCCUUCUCUGCAGGGUGGCUGCCACCCACAUGCACUCCUGGUUGUUGGGGGAGCCUGAGGCCCAUGUGUGAUCAGCUCAAACUAGGAGUCUGGCCCUGCUGGUGAUGGGGAAGAUAAAAAAUGGGGAAAAAGCAGGGAGGAACAAGCCUGGAUGGGCUGGGUGAGUCGGGCACCCUCUGCUCUCUGGGGCAAGCAAGGCAUGAGCACUGCCCCAGCACAGCCCCUGCACGAGAAAAAAUUGGGGUUGGCAGCACACACAUCUCCUUCCUUCUGAACCAACACCCAGGCACCUCCAGAAGGUUCCCCAGGCUCUCUGUAAGGCGUGACUCCUUCCCAGGAGGCAGCAUCCCUGCAGAGAGCUGAGGAGGGAGCCACAAUAACAACAGCUGACCCCAGGGCUUGGGCAGGAUGCUUGGCAAAGGUCCCAGUCUGGCCAGCAGAAGCCCUGGGGCAGGGUCCUGAGCCUCAGGGUCUUGUGGUGUAGCUGCUGGGCCGCACAGAAGGCUUUUCCACCUCUGCCAGCACACUGUGCUGACUCUAGGCUGGGACUGUCUGGGAUGUGGGUAAUGGAAAUCUUUCCUUGCUGUCAUGAAGUCAUCCUUCAUCUGAAAUCCUCAAGAGUGGCUGUGUUUUGGUGAGCCCAGGCACGGGUCUGUGGGAGCAGCCCACGCUCCUGCCAGGAGGAUGCCGUGUUCUCCUCAGGGCUCUGGAGCUGUGCUCAGCCCUGCUCUGGGACAGGAAGCCCACAGACACUCGGGAGCAUUGCCUUAGAAUCCAGACAAAACCCCCAGAGAUGCCAGACCCCCAACAACCUGGCACAAAGCCCUGGGAACCUGGGAUUAAAACAGGGAUAACAAGGCUUAGGGGUGCUUGAGGAUGCUGCCAUCUUUCAGACACUCCAUGGGCCAUCCUUUUUAAUUUAUUUCUUCAUUUACUUUUCAGAGGGAUUUCUCAGCAUCAGAGCAACACGAGACUCUUGAGGGCUGCAUUUUGGAAAAAAAUGUAUGGAAACAUUUUCAUACUUUCCAAAACAAAAGAUGCUAAGGGGUUUGUUACUAAGGGAACAUUCCUCCACUGGCUUUCCAGAGGAUGGGAUUUCUGAGUUUCCUUAGCGCCGUUCACGGCUUCUUUAGGAGGGCAUUGGGUCUGACUCUGAGAGGAAUGGCCUUUGAACUCAGUGGUAGCUUAAAUGCAGUGUGUGAAAUCCUGGCCCCACGGAAAGCACCAGCAAGUGAGAUCAGGAGCUCGGGCACGGUGCGUUGGCUGGCAUUGCUGGGGCCUCCUGGUGGGGUAAGGGAUCUGCUCUGAGCCAAAAUCUUAGCAGGCAUGACCAGAGACUGCUGUGCUUCCAUGUCUCCAGCGGCUGGGAGGCACAGCUGGAAUGGAGAACAAAGCCAUUUCUGAAGAAGGGAUGUUUAGACUGAUAUAAGAGUUGAAGAAGCAUUUUGCAGCAGUCUGAAAUAAAUCUGAGAGAGGGGGUUUUCA